AACUCAAAGGAAUUGACGGGGACCCGCACAAGCGGUGGAUGAUGUGGAUUAAUUCGAUGCAACGCGAAAAACCUUACCUACCCUUGACAUGUCCAGAAGCUCUUAGAGAUUUGAGUGUGCCCGAAAGGGAACUGGAACACAGGUGCUGCAUGGCUGUCGUCAGCUCGUGUCGUGAGAUGUUGGGUUAAGUCCCGCAACGAGCGCAACCCUUGUCGUUAAUUGCCAUCAUUCAGUUGGGCACUUUAACGAGACUGCCGGUGACAAACCGGAGGAAGGUGGGGAUGACGUCAAGUCCUCAUGGCCCUUAUGGGUAGGGCUUCACACGUCAUACAAUGGUCGGUACAAAGGGUUGCCAACCCGCGAGGGGGAGCUAAUCCCAGAAAGCCGAUCGUAGUCCGGAUCGUAGGCUGCAACUCGCCUGCGUGAAGUCGGAAUCGCUAGUAAUCGUGGAUCAGCAUGUCACGGUGAAUACGUUCCCGGGUCUUGUACACACCGCCCGUCACACCAUGGGAGCGGGUUCCGCCAGAAGUAGGUAGCCUAACCGCAAGGAGGGCGCUUACCACGGCGGGGUUCGUGACUGGGGUGG
RNAcentral lists this ribosomal RNA (586 nucleotides) under uncultured bacterium. RNAcentral describes it as "bacterial SSU rRNA". It matches the Rfam family "Bacterial small subunit ribosomal RNA", at positions 898 to 1483 of the family's 1533-position model. The record is from RNAcentral.